This 622-nucleotide ribosomal RNA is filed under the name uncultured Streptococcus sp. RNAcentral's name for it is "bacterial SSU rRNA". It matches the Rfam family "Bacterial small subunit ribosomal RNA", at positions 28 to 633 of the family's 1533-position model. The record is from RNAcentral. Lineage: Bacteria; Bacillati; Bacillota; Bacilli; Lactobacillales; Streptococcaceae.
GACGAACGCUGGCGGCGUGCCUAAUACAUGCAAGUAGAACGCUGAAGAAAGGAGCUUGCUUCUUUUGGAUGAGUUGCGAACGGGUGAGUAACGCGUAGGUAACCUGCCUUGUAGCGGGGGAUAACUAUUGGAAACGAUAGCUAAUACCGCAUAACAGCUUUUGACACAUGUUAGAAGCUUGAAAGAUGCAAUUGCAUCACUACGAGAUGGACCUGCGUUGUAUUAGCUAGUAGGUAGGGUAACGGCCUACCUAGGCGACGAUACAUAGCCGACCUGAGAGGGUGAUCGGCCACACUGGGACUGAGACACGGCCCAGACUCCUACGGUAGGCAGCAGUAGGGAAUCUUCGGCAAUGGGGGCAACCCUGACCGAGCAACGCCGCGUGAGUGAAGAAGGUUUUCGGAUCGUAAAGCUCUGUUGUAAGAGAAGAAUGUGUGUGAGAGUGGAAAGUUCACACAGUGACGGUAACUUACCAGAAAGGGACGGCUAACUACGUGCCAGCAGCCGCGGUAAUACGUAGGUCCCGAGCGUUGUCCGGAUUUAUUGGGCGUAAAGCGAGCGCAGGCGGUUUAAUAAGUCUGAAGUUAAAGGCAGUGGCUUAACCAUUGUUCGCUUUGGAAAC